ACUCCCUACGGGAGGCAGCAGUGGGGAAUAAUUGCACAAUGGGCGCAAGCCUGAUGCAGCCAUGCCGCGUGUGUGAAGAAGGCCUUCGGGAUUGUAAAAGCACUUUCAGUAGGGAGGAAGGUAGUGUAGUUAACACCUGCAUUAUUUGACGUACCUACAGAAGAAGCACCGGCUAACUCCGUGCCAGCAGCCGCGGUAAUACGGAGGGUGCGAGCGUUAAUCGGAAUUACUGGGCGUAAAGCGCAUGCAGGCGGCCUGUUAAGUCAGAUGUGAAAGCCCGGGGCUUAACCUCGGAAUUGCAUUUGAAACUGGCAGGCUAGAGUCUUGUAGAGGGGGGUAGAA
This 342-nucleotide ribosomal RNA is filed under the name uncultured bacterium. RNAcentral's name for it is "bacterial SSU rRNA". It matches the Rfam family "Bacterial small subunit ribosomal RNA", at positions 335 to 666 of the family's 1533-position model. The record is from RNAcentral.